Long non-coding RNA from Clupea harengus (Atlantic herring), 1104 nucleotides. RefSeq lists it as uncharacterized. The transcript is spliced from 3 exons. The record is from RefSeq and is a predicted model, not a curated record. NCBI's taxonomy places the organism in Eukaryota, Metazoa, Chordata, Actinopteri, Clupeiformes, Clupeidae.
AUUCUGAGGACUAAGCUAAAUCUGGGUUAUGAGUUUGUAAUACAGUAUGAAGAUCCGGACUUCCAGAAUGAGUUGAUAAACCUCAACUGUCCCACAGAAUUGCCCAAGGAUAAAGCAACCCUCAAAAUAAUCCAGAAGAUGCCACCUGACCAACACUUGGUGACUGUUAGUGACAGCAGUACCCUUGACACUGCCAGCCUGUCAUCUGCUUCAUCAUCUACAGAAACCAGCCCACCUGAUAUGAUGAAGAACUGGUCUGAGCCCUUUAGCAUUCCAACUUUCUCUUAUGAUGUGGAACUGAAGCUGAAGAGAGGAAAUGAAGCAUAUGCCAAAGAUGGCUCCCGGAUAGAGGUCCUCAAGGGCCUCAAGAGUGAAAUCUUGGACAGACUUGUUGGAGAGAUGUUCAGAAUCGAUGCAUAUCCAUCACAGGUACAAAUUGAAGAAGUUGCCAAAGCAUUGGUAGAAAAGCAUCCCUGUUUAAGAGAGGUAGGGUCCACAGAUGGCUGGUACUGCUGGAAGUACAAUUUAAAUUUUAAAAUGGGCAAUUAUCGGCACAAGUUACGUGCUGCCUGGGUGUACAGCAGUGUUGGUGAACAAGACUCGAAUGUUUGAAGAUGGGAAAACUAAGCGGAAGAUCAAGAAGCCAAGGCGAUCUGAAACCAACUUCCGUCCAGAUAUACUGUACCUGAUGACACCUUUACUUCCCUUGAAGAGGACAGGAAGACACUUCUGUUGGAAUUUAAAAAGGUGAAUCCCAACAACAAGAUAAUUGAUGCAGCCAUGGCAAACACUUAUGCUUUGAGAAGAAAGGAGAUCGUUGAUGAUGAGCCUCUUGUGAGUAUGGUCAAAUCCAGAUGGCCUGCACUGUUCUCGGAGAGACAGAUCCUUGCGGAAUUCAGCCGUCUGAUGUCUACUGAUCUCCUGAGAUCCUUCUUUGGUGGACUUGAUGAAUAUAUGCCCAGGUUUCUUGACCUUUUCAGAAAAAAGGAUCACAUUGCAGAGCUCCAAGACAUUGUUAGAUGGCUGGACGCUCAUGAUUCCAAUCAGAAUAAGCGAACAGCAGUCUUACUUGGCAUGCCGCAUUUCCUUCGAGAAGAGCCCUCA